AUGGAGGAAGGGUGGCUGGGCACCGUGGCCCUCUGCUACUUGCUCGGCGGCAUGAUCAGCACAGCUGCUCCCAUGCUUGCUGUGAGCAUCGUGGCAGGGGUCAUCCCGGGGCAGAUGACCGCCGCGGGCAUGUACGCCGCUGUGGUCACCACGACCAACGCGAUCGCCACGGAGCUCGUCACCGCGUACGCUGCCAAGAAGGUGGCGGGGGCGAACGAGGACAAGUUCGGCCCCGUCAAGAAGGCUGCGGCAGCAGCGGUGGCCAACAUCCUCGGCUCGGCUGUGACCAUCAUGGCGGUCACCAGGUCGCCAUCACCGGCAUCGUCGUCGUCCUCUUCAUCCCCCUGGGCUACACCGCUGCGAAGCUCAAUGGACGGGCUGCGGCUGCUGGAGCUCUCCGCGUGCUGUGCGUCGGCAUGA
This 420-nucleotide ribosomal RNA is filed under the name Triticum aestivum (bread wheat). RNAcentral's name for it is "partial small subunit ribosomal RNA". The record is from RNAcentral. Lineage: Eukaryota; Viridiplantae; Streptophyta; Magnoliopsida; Poales; Poaceae.